ACAAGCAGCGGAGCGUGUGGUUAAUUCGAGGCUACACGAAGAACCUUACAGGGUUUGACAUGCAAGUGGUAGGAAUCCGAAAGGUGACCGACCCUUCGGGAGCUUGCACAGGUGCUGCAUGGCUGUCGUCAGCUCGUGUCGUGAGAUGUUCGGUUAAGUCCGCUAACGAGCGCAACCCUCGUCGUGUGUUAUACGUGUCACACGAUACUGCCGGUAUCAAGCCGGAGGAAGGUGGGGAUGAUGUCAAGUCAGCAUGGCCUUUAUAUCCUGGGCUACACACACGCUACAAUGGCAGAUACAAUAGGUUGCGAAACCGCGAGGUGGAGCCAAUCCUCAAAGUCUGUCUCAGUUCAGAUUGUAGGCUGCAACUCGCCUGCAUGAAGUUGGAGUUGCUAGUAAACGCAGGUCAGCUAUACUGCGUUGAAUACGUUCCCGGGGUUU
This 441-nucleotide ribosomal RNA is filed under the name uncultured Leptolinea sp. Its description in RNAcentral is "bacterial SSU rRNA". It matches the Rfam family "Bacterial small subunit ribosomal RNA", at positions 925 to 1382 of the family's 1533-position model. Lineage: Bacteria; Bacillati; Chloroflexota; Anaerolineae; Anaerolineales; Anaerolineaceae. The record is from RNAcentral.